CCUUUUCGUUUGCUCGAGUCGACUGCGAGGGAUCCAAGGAUCGGCGGCGGCCGGGUGGCGGCGAUGACGGCCAGGAGGCGGCGCCGCGCGAGUUGGCCCGCUUCGGAGACGACGGGGCGGCGGCCAUGUCCUCGGGUCGUCGCGAAGGGAGGCAGCUCGUCGGCGAGAGUGUGCGUCGCGGAGGGAGGGACCCCGUCGGCGAGGGCGGAUCGUUGCGGCGGCUGGCUUCGAUGCGGCCUCUGGUCAGGAAUCCGUCAACCUUGUCCCGUGGUUGUAACAGUUAACCUCUCCGAACCUCGACGAAGCCGUAGGAGUCCUCUCGUUUGUUCUUCUAUGACUAUGUGUAUAGCCGUGUAAAAUCGAGUCCUCUCGUUCGUUCUUCCAAGGGUCUUCGAGCGACCUUGACGACGGUACAGAAGCUUCCCGUUCUUCUUCUUCGGCAGCCGUAGGGGCGUCGGCAGUGGAGCAUGUGGAGGGAGAGCGCGGGCACUUCCGUGGCCCCCGACGUAGGACCUGGAGAGCAGGUGGCGACGUCGCCGCCGCCGUGCCAUGGGCCGCGAGCAUGGGGCGCCUCCGCGCCCAACAAAGCGGCCGUGGCAGAGGCUACACCAGAGGUCCCCGCCCUCGGCGUCACCGCUCCCCUCCGAGACCGAACGGCUCGGGCGGUACCGGUCGUGGCCCGAUGCCGGACCCACGGAGCAGAAACACAGUGAGUAAAGAAGUUCAUCAUUGUCAAAUCUACCGAAGGGUGAACUAUCAAAUAAACUCCUCACGUUGUCUAAAAAACUAGAACUACACCCGUUACUAGAGUAGAGAUUACUUCGACCCCACUUGAAACACUGACGAUGUCAAAAGGGAAGUGCACUCCAAGUUUUCUUACUGUAGUUCGAGAGAACCCUAGAACGGACGUGUGACCCUAUGGGACAUCAUCCAGCAAGAAACGAUUAAUCGGGGCAUAUAUGUAGCGUUCGGGGUUUCGCUCGACUAAGACCGCUCAAUAACGCACACUAUUUUACGUCGCUAGAAAUAGAGCCAGAUCAAGGUUGCUUUCAACAUGGCAGGUCAGUAUUAUUCAGCCUUAGACUAACGGUAGGACAUUCUUUACACUACCAAUACCUCAGUGGAUUUUCCUAAGGAAGUUGAGGAGGUACGUCUUUACUUAGGGUACUACCACGUAGAUUGUCACCGAAAAGUAACACGAACCUAGUUCGGUGACGUUUUAGUCGUAAUCGUCUACUAUUUUAUUUACUGGACGACGUCUGAAGACGUAGUGCCACCGAACUACCAUCCGUGAAUGACUUUCCUUUGAUACAGGGAGAGAGUUACACGCCCUUUGAUAGAUAUAAGCAUCAAAACGCUCGUCUUUGUCUACCAAGACGGGACCUACAUCACGUACUCUUUUCUUUAAGUUACAGAUUACGUCUACAGAGACCAUUUAACCAACUUUGGGGACGAAACAUGGAACAGCUGUCUUGGUGUUUUCACGUGGAAAGACUAAACAGUAGAAGUUUCCUCAAACCCAGUCUAUUCGAUCCCAAGGGUGGUCUUAUAAGGUAGACACGACUAUGUCCUUCACUUCUACGGUUAGUACUAGUUUCCGAACCACCCAAUAGACUUCACAGUCGUUUUCAUUUUCUUUACUAAAGCAAAAGCGACCGUCUAGUUUAACCAGACGGUUCCUUACCGGACGUACUAAAUGGUUCCAUAUUUCCAGAAGAAGAAAUACCAGGUGGACCUUGUCCCUUUUGGAGAGAACGAAGAAGUACACGGAUACUAGACCCUCGGUUAGAAAAAUGUUAGUUACCUGGUCUCUAGUAACCAGUCAUAGUGCCACUUUCACUUGUCUGUAACAUACUACAAAAGUGAAGUCGAUUCGUUCGACGUGGACGACACUAUAAAUAACUACUUAACCUACGCUAACGAGGUCGGUCCUUCCUACCUCCGCUCCUCAACAGAGAAUCUUACCACCGGUGAGACAAUUUUGAUUACCUACUCUAACCGGCAUUACUAGCACAAUAGAAUUAACGACGAUGUUUAGCAGAACUUUCAUAACUAGCACGUAAUGAUGCUGGUCCUUCUAAGCUAGUUCUUUAACUUUAUCCUCAUGGUAGAGGUCCUGUCUCCGACCUGUAUGAAGUGGUGGAAGAUUCACCUCAAGUGGUGAGAGAGUGAUCACUCCUUCAACUCAGGGAACGAAAACGGUGAGUACCUAAGCACCCACGACUAGAUCGACGUGAUACGUUACUCCGACGUAACUCACGAGAAGCGGCAAUAUAGUCACAUUUUCUUUCAAGUUGGGUUGAUGAACCACUAGUACUGUGUUUACGUCUUUUCUGAUUAUAAGUUCUUUAACUACCAGAAACCCCAAUACUUCAUUCGAGUAAUAGUAGUAGAGAGAGUUUCAAUUGGUACAGUUACCUCCUAGUAACGACCUGGUUAUCUCCACUAUAGUAUCUUUCAUCGCUCGGCCUACUAUUCUUUCUACUCAACGAUAACAACCACUGGUUUCUACUGAAACUUGUUCGAUUUUACUUUCAAUCUGGUUCACGUUACGCACUCCAUUACGAUCUCGAAGGCUACCAUGCUACCCUUCUACAACCACCAGUUCGGUCCUAGUUCUUCGUUAAUUAACUUCGGUAGGUCAACGGUGUCUUUACGGGUCUACGCAAACUUGCGAAUCCCUAGGCGGGAGGAUCUCCUAACGAUUACUAACCUGGUGGUCCAACGUCAUUCUGUAACUACCGAGCACGACAUCGAAGACUUCGUUUUUACUUAAAGGAACGUCAAUUCCCAGGACUCGAAAAGUCGUUUACCCAACCACUGAGACUUUUCCGUCACUCUAGUAAUAAACGCUUCCGCUUCCUAUUACGCGGACGUUAUAAUAAAAAACUACUUUAUCUACCCGAACGUCAUUGAGCACCGGUACCUUCAUUACCGUAUAGACAACGACUAUCCCAUGAGUCAGUCAACGAUGUCCUUUACCUACCAAACCUGGUCUUCUAACCACAGUGACAAUAACGUCGAUGCUUAGCAGGACUGUUUUAGCUAUAACGUGAAGACUCUGGUCCAGCAAAGCUGUCUGACGAACUACAAGUUGGUGGUCUACUUCGACUGGCACUCCUAUAAAAGGCCUAAGUAUGUGCGUUUUAAGGAACGUCAGUGCUGCAGUUAGAUUUGCUUGAACGAUCUGAGUGUCUUCCGAUGUGGCCACGGCUGUAUUUCGAGCAGACGUCCCUUCGGCGGCAUCGACGAGAACUACUCUUGAAACUGUAGGGUCUUCAUCGUUAACAUGUGAAGUUCAGCCGUUAGCUGGCUCAUUCAGGUAGUCUAUACGUCAAAAUGGUUCUUGAACGCCGCGCUAAGGCGGCUGAGCAACUACUGUGUCUAUUUCGUUGUUGCUACCCUUAUGUAUGGCUUUGACGGUAAAUCAUAGGGAUAUAGACAUCUAUCUCCUCUCGUCAAGUGAGAUUAUGGUCUUUGCUUUCCUUUUACCUUAAAUACAACUGUCAACGUCAUAAUACUAGGAGAGGUCGUAAAGGGCGUAGACCUUAAGAAAAAACAAGACCAUCUCCGAUCAUCACGUUCAGUUCUCAACGUAGAAAAAGGAACCUACAGGUUACCAAGGUAGAUCAUGAUAAAAACAUCACCACCGAGAACUUUCUCUCUCCUAUGACUAAUGACCUGUGUUAGCGGACACGUUAAAAAACGAUCAGUACAUGGGCACCUCAGAUCUUAAAAACAACAUCUCUAACGGUUUACGACCAGCAGUGAGGACAAGUUUAAACACGUGUAGAACUGACGGUCAUUACCGUAGCUCCUUAGUAUACGUGCGCCACGCCUCUCAAA
This 3846-nucleotide ribosomal RNA is filed under the name Triticum aestivum (bread wheat). Its description in RNAcentral is "partial small subunit ribosomal RNA". Lineage: Eukaryota; Viridiplantae; Streptophyta; Magnoliopsida; Poales; Poaceae. The record is from RNAcentral.